Molecule: ribosomal RNA, 343 nt
Filed under: uncultured Flavobacteriaceae bacterium
Lineage: Bacteria; Pseudomonadati; Bacteroidota; Flavobacteriia; Flavobacteriales; Flavobacteriaceae
Description: bacterial LSU rRNA
Rfam family: Bacterial large subunit ribosomal RNA
Source: RNAcentral
AAUAGGCUAAUUAAGAGCGUAAGGGGAAUGCCUUGGCUCUCAGAGGCGAUGAAGGACGUGAUAAGCUGCGAUAAGCUGUGGGGAGUGGCACAAACACUUUGAUCCGCAGAUCUCCGAAUGGGGCAACCCGGCAUAUUGAAGAUAUGUCACACUGUAAAGUGAGCAAACCUGGUGAACUGAAACAUCUAAGUAACCAGAGGAAUAGAAAACAAAAGUGAUUCCGCUAGUAGUGGCGAGCGAACGUGGAACAGCCCAAACCUAUGUUGUUACGGCAAUAUAGGGGUUGUAGGACCUCAACAUUUAAUGCUAAUAGAACUAGAAUUUACUGGAAAGUAAAACCAUA